ACGCAGUAGGAUAGGCGAAGCGUGCGAUUGGAUUGCACGUCUAAGCAGUAAGGCUGAGUAUUAGGCAAAUCCGGUACUCAUUAAGGCUGAGCUGUGAUGGGGAGAAGACAUUGUGUCUUCGAGUCGUUGAUUUCACACUGCCGAGAAAAGCCUCUAGAUAGAAAAUAGGUGCCCGUACCGCAAACCGACACAGGUAGUCAAGAUGAGAAUUCUAAGGUGAGCGAGCGAACUCUCGUUAAGGAACUCGGCAAAAUGACCCCGUAACUUCGGGAGAAGGGGUGCUCUUUAGGGUUAACGCCCAGAAGAGCCGCAGUGAAUAGGCCCAAGCGACUGUUUAUCAAAAACACAGGUCUCUGCUAAACCGUAAGGUGAUGUAUAGGGGCUGACGCCUGCCCGGUGCUGGAAGGUUAAGAGGAGUGGUUAGCUUCUGCGAAGCUACGAAUCGAAGCCCCAGUAAACGGCGGCCGUAACUAUAACGGUCCUAAGGUAGCGAAAUUCCUUGUCGGGUAAGUUCCGACCCGCACGAAAGGCGUAACGAUUUGGGCACUGUCUCAACGAGAGACUCGGUGAAAUCAUAGUACCUGUGAAGAUGCAGGUUACCCGCGACAGGACGGAAAGACCCCGUGGAGCUUUACUGUAGCCUGAUAUUGAAAUUCGGCACAGCUUGUACAGGAUAGGUAGGAGCCUUUGAAACGUGAGCGCUAGCUUACGUGGAGGCGCUGGUGGGAUACUACCCUAGCUGUGUUGGCUUUCUAACCCGCACCACUUAUCGUGGUGGGAGACAGUGUCAGGCGGGCAGUUUGACUGGGGCGGUCGCCUCCUAAAAGGUAACGGAGGCGCUCAAAGGUUCCCUCAGAAUGGUUGGAAAUCAUUCAUAGAGUGUAAAGGCAUAAGGGAGCUUGACUGCGAGACCUACAAGUCGAGCAGGGUCGAAAGACGGACUUAGUGAUCCGGUGGUUCCGCAUGGAAGGGCCAUCGCUCAACGGAUAAAAGCUACCCCGGGGAUAACAGGCUUAUCUCCCCCAAGAGUUCACAUCGACGGGGAGGU
Molecule: ribosomal RNA, 1048 nt
Filed under: Staphylococcus aureus
Lineage: Bacteria; Bacillati; Bacillota; Bacilli; Caryophanales; Staphylococcaceae
Description: partial 23S ribosomal RNA
Rfam family: Bacterial large subunit ribosomal RNA
Source: RNAcentral